AUUGAACGCUGGCGGCAUGCUUUACACAUGCAAGUCGAACGGCAGCGCGGGGGCAACCCUGGCGGCGAGUGGCGAACGGGUGAGUAAUGUAUCGGAACGUAUCCUGUAAUGGGGGAUAACCAGUCGAAAGAUUGGGUAAUACCGCAUACGCACGAGAGUGGAAAGUAGGGGAUCGCAAGACCUUACGUUAUAGGAGCGGCCGAUAUCUGAUUAGCUAGUUGGUAAGGUAACGGCUUACCAAGGCGACGAUCAUUAGGGGUUCUGAGAGGAAGGUCCCCCACACUGGUACUGAGACACGGACCAGACUCCUACGGGAGGCAGCAGUGAGGAAUAUUGGUCAAUGGGCGCAAGCCUGAACCAGCCAUGCCGCGUGCAGGAAGACGGCCUUAUGGGUUGUAAACUGCUUUUACAUAAGCUAACCGUAUAUUUUGCGAAUAUACCUGAAUGUAUUAUGAGAAUAAGGAUCGGCUAACUCCGUGCCAGCAGCCGGCGGUAAU
This 497-nucleotide ribosomal RNA is filed under the name uncultured bacterium. RNAcentral describes it as "bacterial SSU rRNA". It matches the Rfam family "Bacterial small subunit ribosomal RNA", at positions 30 to 524 of the family's 1533-position model. The record is from RNAcentral.